UAUUUUAGAUUCAACUUUUAAAUUUAAAUUCAAAAUUUCAAUUUAAAUUUAAAUUUAUAUUUGAAUUUUUUUAAAUUUUAAAUUUUAAGCUUUAAAUUUUCAAAUUUUAAGCUUUAAAUUUUCAAAUUUUAAAAUUACAAAUUUAAAAUUCUCAAUUUAGAUAUUAAAUUUAAAUUUUUAAUUUUCAAAUCUCAAAUUUUAACUCUCAAAAUUUUAAAUUUUAAAUUUUAAGUUUAAUAUAAUAUUAAAAAAUUAAAAAUUUAAAAAUUAAAAUCAAAAAUUAAAAUUUUAGAAUUUAAAAUUUAAAAUUUAAAAUUUUAGAUUAUAAGUCCUAAGUUUUCAAAUUAUAAGUUUUACAUUUUUAAAAUUCAAAUUCUAAAUUUUCAAACUUUAAUUUAAAAAUUUUAAAGUUAAGUAGAAAAUAAGUAUAUUAAUAAUUAUAUAUUGAUUAAUGACGGCAUUUAGCAAUAAGUGCUGCUAUUUUGUUGCAUUUAGCAUCAUUUUUUAUAAAAUGUUGGAAACAUCAGCAGCAUUCACUAAUUUAUACUGCUAAUUUAUCUUAUUUUGCAGCAUUAAUAAUAAAUUGCUGUUAAAUUAUUAAGAAUUCUUUUUAUUUCCCCAAAUUCGAAUUCCUCGGAAUUGUUUUGCCAGUAGAAUUUUGAAAGAGAGACAAUUUAGCGGCAAUUAUCAAGUAAUGCCGUUAAAUAUAUUAAUUAGCAUCAUUUAGAUAAAUGCUGUGAAGUAAAUGCCGCUAAAUCAUCAUUUUGUAGUAGUGAUUAGUAGGGCUGGCAAACGAGCGAGCCGUCUCGCGUUCGACUCGUGUUCAGCUCGAUAUUCGGCUCGCUCGAGCUCGACUCGAAAUUAAAUGAGCCGAGCUU
This 878-nucleotide long non-coding RNA is filed under the name Ananas comosus (pineapple). Its description in RNAcentral is "long non-coding RNA (ACOM_LNC011171)". The record is from RNAcentral. Lineage: Eukaryota; Viridiplantae; Streptophyta; Magnoliopsida; Poales; Bromeliaceae.